RNAcentral lists this ribosomal RNA (696 nucleotides) under Naegleria americana. RNAcentral describes it as "SSU rRNA". It matches the Rfam family "Eukaryotic small subunit ribosomal RNA", at positions 630 to 1245 of the family's 1831-position model. Lineage: Eukaryota; Heterolobosea; Eutetramitea; Acrasida; Naegleriidae. The record is from RNAcentral.
GUAGUAUACCUAAGAGUGUGCGUGUAGUAAUUAGUUUUGUCAGAGGACGGUCGGCGAGUGUUUAUCACACUUGCUUGCUUACUUUUGGCAAACUUCAGUCGGGCUGGAUCUUUGGUCCUCGUCUGACAGUUGCUGCGCGUGUACUUGUCCACGGUUCAUCCGUGAGGCCCAUUUGGGUUGCAACUGUAAAUAAAUCGUUGUGCUUAAAGCGGGCUAUGAUACUCUGCCAGAGCGAUUUAGCAUGGGACUGCAGAGUAGCUGUAUUUGAGUGAAGGUUGUGCUUCGGUAUGACUGGAUCUUGGUACAGCGCUUGUAAUGGAGCUCAGGGUGAGGCCCCGGGUACCAUGAGGCUAGAGGUGAAAUUCUGAGACCCUCAUGUGACCAACUAAGGCGAAAGCUGUCGUGGGCCACCACAAGCUCGUCUAUCAGGGACGAAAGUUGGGGGAUCGAAGACGAUUAGAUACCGUCGUAGUCCCAACUAUAAACGAUACCAACCGAGUAUUUGGGAAGACACUAUCCCAGCGAUCUUCUCAGAACUCAAGGGAAACCUUAAGUCUUUGGGUUCUGGGGGGAGUAUAGUCGCAAGACCGAAACUUAAAGGAAUUGACGGAAAGGCACCACCAGGAGUGGAGUCUGCGGCUUAAUUCGACUCAACACGGGGAAACUCACCAGGUCAGGACACAAGUUUGAUUGACA